CGAGCACCCAUAAUCAUUUUUAUAAAAGAAGAACCCUUCAGUUAAAUCUUUCUCUGCACAGCGCACCAUCUUUUGAUCUUUGACAUUUACAGCCUCCUAGAUGAUAGGUGGAAAUGUGUGAGUCCCCGGGAACAGCAGAGAUCAGGAGGGGAAGCAAUUACAUUCCAAAUUCCACUUUACUGUUUAUGCCAUCAGCUUCAGAAAGUGCCCCUACAGCAAAA
Long non-coding RNA from Bufo bufo (common toad), 221 nucleotides. RefSeq lists it as uncharacterized. The transcript has 3 exons. The record is from RefSeq and is a predicted model, not a curated record. Lineage: Eukaryota; Metazoa; Chordata; Amphibia; Anura; Bufonidae.